Molecule: ribosomal RNA, 142 nt
Filed under: uncultured Alphaproteobacteria bacterium
Lineage: Bacteria; Pseudomonadati; Pseudomonadota; Alphaproteobacteria
Description: partial 16S ribosomal RNA
Rfam family: Bacterial small subunit ribosomal RNA
Source: RNAcentral
AGCGUUGCUCGGAAUCACUGGGCGUAAAGCGCACGUAGGCGGCUUUUUAAGUCAGGGGUGAAAUCCUGGAGCUCAACUCCAGAACUGCCCUUGAUACUGGCGAUCUCGAGUCCGGGAGAGGUGAGUGGAACUGCGAGUGUAG